Molecule: ribosomal RNA, 468 nt
Filed under: uncultured bacterium
Lineage: Bacteria
Description: partial 16S ribosomal RNA
Rfam family: Bacterial small subunit ribosomal RNA
Source: RNAcentral
GACGAACGCUGGCGGCGUGCUUAACACAUGCAAGUCGAACGGAAAGGCCCUGCUUUUGUGGGGUGCUCGAGUGGCGAACGGGUGAGUAACACGUGAGUAACCUGCCCUUGACCUUGGGAUAACUUCAGGAAACUGGGGCUAAUACCGGAUAGGAGCUCCUGCUGCAUGGUGGGGGUUGGAAAGUUUCGGCGGUUGGGGAUGGACUCGCGGCUUAUCAGCUUGUUGGUGGGGUAGUGGCUUACCAAGGCUUUGACGGGUAGCCGGCCUGAGAGGGUGACCGGCCACAUUGGGACUGAGAUACGGCCCAGACUCCUACGGGAGGCAGCAGUGGGGAAUAUUGCACAAUGGGCGGAAGCCUGAUGCAGCAACGCCGCGUGCGGGAUGACGGCCUUCGGGUUGUAAACCGCUUUCGCCUGUGACGAAGCGCGAGUGACGGUAAUGGGUAAAGAAGCACCGGCUAACUACGUG